RNAcentral lists this ribosomal RNA (253 nucleotides) under uncultured bacterium. Its description in RNAcentral is "partial 16S ribosomal RNA". It matches the Rfam family "Bacterial small subunit ribosomal RNA", at positions 524 to 776 of the family's 1533-position model. The record is from RNAcentral.
GACAGAGGGUGCAAACGUUGCUCGGAAUUACUGGGCGUAAAGCGCGUGUAGGCGGACCGGGAAGUCAGGUGUGAAAUCCCUAGGCUCAACCUAGGAACUGCAUUUGAAACUUCCGGUCUGGAGGAAUGGAGAGGGAAGCGGAAUUCCUGGUGUAGAGGUGAAAUUCGUAGAUAUCAGGAAGAACACCCGUGGCUAAGGCGGUUCUCUAGUACGGUACUGACGCUGAGACGCGAAAGCGUGGGGAGCGAACAGG